GACGAACGCUGGCGGCGUGCCUAAUACAUGCAAGUCGAACGCACUCUCGUUUAGAUUGAAGGAGCUUGCUCCUGAUUGAUAAACAUUUGAGUGGGUGGCGGACGGGUGAGUAACACGUGGGUAACCUGCCCUAAAGUGGGGGAUAACAUUUGGAAACAGAUGCUAAUACCGCAUAAACCCAACACCGCAUGGUGUAGGGUUGAAAGAUGGUUUCGGCUAUCACUUUAGGAUGGACCCGCGGUGCAUUAGUUAGUUGGUGAGGUAAAGGCUCACCAAGACCGUGAUGCAUAGCCGACCUGAGAGGGUAAUCGGCCACACUGGGACUGAGACACGGCCCAGACUCCUACGGGAGGCAGCAGUAGGGAAUCUUCCACAAUGGACGAAAGUCUGAUGGAGCAACGCCGCGUGAGUGAAGAAGGUUUUCGGAUCGUAAAACUCUGUUGUUGGAGAAGAAUGUAUCUGAUAGUAACUGAU
RNAcentral lists this ribosomal RNA (474 nucleotides) under uncultured bacterium. RNAcentral's name for it is "bacterial SSU rRNA". It matches the Rfam family "Bacterial small subunit ribosomal RNA", at positions 28 to 467 of the family's 1533-position model. The record is from RNAcentral.